This 571-nucleotide ribosomal RNA is filed under the name Curvularia spicifera. RNAcentral describes it as "eukaryotic LSU rRNA". The stretch from base 193 to 346 matches the Rfam family "5.8S ribosomal RNA". The record is from RNAcentral. Lineage: Eukaryota; Fungi; Ascomycota; Dothideomycetes; Pleosporales; Pleosporaceae.
UCCGUAGGUGAACCUGCGGAGGGAUCAUUACACAAUAAAAUACGAAGGCCGUUCGCGGCUGGACUAUUUAUUACCCUUGUCUUUUGCGCACUUGUUGUUUCCUGGGCGGGUUCGCUCGCCACCAGGACCACAAUAUAAACCUUUUUUAUGCAGUUGCAAUCAGCGUCAGUAUAACAAAUGUAAAUCAUUUACAACUUUCAACAACGGAUCUCUUGGUUCUGGCAUCGAUGAAGAACGCAGCGAAAUGCGAUACGUAGUGUGAAUUGCAGAAUUCAGUGAAUCAUCGAAUCUUUGAACGCACAUUGCGCCCUUUGGUAUUCCAAAGGGCAUGCCUGUUCGAGCGUCAUUUGUACCCUCAAGCUUUGCUUGGUGUUGGGCGUUUUUGUCUUUGGCCCGCCAAAGACUCGCCUUAAAAUGAUUGGCAGCCGGCCUACUGGUUUCGCAGCGCAGCACAUUUUUGCGCUUGCAAUCAGCAAAAGAGGACGGCAAUCCAUCAAGACUCCUUCUCACGUUUGACCUCGGAUCAGCAAGGGAUACCCGCUGAACUUAAGCAUAUCAAUAAGCGGAGGAA